This is a long non-coding RNA of Homo sapiens (human), 1722 nucleotides long. NCBI's taxonomy places the organism in Eukaryota, Metazoa, Chordata, Mammalia, Primates, Hominidae. The record is from Ensembl.
GGAACUCGCGGCGGGGUUGCUGGGUCUUCCAGGAUCGCGCAUUAGCGGACGCUGGCUACGGGUGGCCGGGCGGGAUGUAACCGGCUGCUGAGCUGGCAGUUCUGUGUCCCCAGGCUUCGGCCCGGCCGCCGCCGCACAUAAACUGCGAGGAGGAGCUUUACGACUUCUCGGUCUUCGGGGCCGGGCGCAGCAAGGGCCAGACUCUGCGCUAGCAGGCGCUGCGCGCCAACCGGCCGGCCCCUGUCGCAGAAGGUGCAACCGAUCGCACUGUCGCGCAGAAGCUCCUCAAUGGCCAGCGCCAGCUGCAGCCCCGGCUGCCCACUCGCCUCACCUGAGCCUGGGUGGAACAAUCCAAAGUUUUAAUCAAAGAAGGUGGUAUUCAGUUGCUGCUUACAAUAGUUGAUACCCCAGGAUUUGGAGAUGCAGUGGAUAAUAGUAAUUGCUGGCAGCCUGUUAUCAAUUACAUUGAUAGUAAAUUUGAGGACUACCUAAAUGCAGAAUCGCAAGUGAACAGAUGUCAGAUGCCUGGUAACAGGGUGCACUGUUGUUUAUACUUCAUUGCUCCUUCAGGACAUGGACUUAAACCAUUGGAUAUUGAGUUUACAAAGCAUUUGCAUGAAAAAGUGAAUAUCAUCCCACUUAUUGCCAAAGCAGACACACUCAUGCCAGAGGAAUGCCAACAGUUUAAAAAACAGAUAAAGAAAUCCAAGAACAUAAAGUUAAAAUAUAUGAAUUUCCAGAAACAGAUGAUGAAGAAGAAAAAAAACUUGUUAAAAAGAUAAAGGACCAUUUACCUCUUGCUGUGGUGGGUAGUAAUACUAUCAUUGAAGUUAAUGGCAAAAGGGUCAUAGGAAGGCAGUAUCCUUGGAGUGUUGCUGAAGUUGAAAAUGGUGAACAUUGUGAUUUUACAGUUUUAAGAAAUAUGUUGAUAAGAACACACGCAGGACUUGAAAGAUGUUACUAAUAAUGUCCACUACGAGAACUAUGGAAUCAGAAAACUGGCAGCUGUGACUUAUCAUGGAGUUGAUAACAAGAAGAAUAAAGGGCAGCUCACUAAGAGCCCUCUGGCACAAAUGGAAGAAGAAAGAAGGGAGCAAGUAGCUAAAAUUAAGAAGAUGGAGAUGGAGAUGGAGCAGGUGUUUGAGAUGAAGGUCAAAGAAAAAGUUCAAAAACUGAAGGACUCUGAAGCUGAGUCUGCAGAUGUGGAUCCUGACUCCUGAGAGAAGUAGCUCACCGUGACGAAGCUGCGUUUGCUUUUAUCGAUUUGCAAAUCAAAGAAGGGGGACAUAUUGGGAGAAGGCCCCCCAAAAUCUGGCCAUAAACUGGCCACAAAACUGGCCAUAAAAUCUCUGCAGCACUGUGACAUGCUCAUGAUGGCCAUAACGCCCACGCUGGAAGGUUUUGGGUUUACCGGAAUGAAGGCAAGGAACACCUGGCCUGCCCAGGGCAGAAAACCACUUAAAGGCAUUCUUAAACCACAAACAGUAGCAUGAGCGAUCUGUGCCUUAAGGGCAUGUUCCUGCUGCAGAUAACUAGCCAGACCCACCCCUUUAUUUCAGGCCAUCCCUUCAUUUCCCAUAAGGGAUACUUUUAGUUAAUUGAAUAUCUAUAGAAACAAUGCUAAUGACUGGUUUGCUGUUAAUAAAUAAGUGGGUAAAUCUCUGUUCGGGGCUCUCAGCUCUGAAGGCUGUGAGACCCCUGAUUUCCCACUUUACACCUCUA